This is a long non-coding RNA of Hemibagrus wyckioides, 383 nucleotides long. RefSeq lists it as uncharacterized. The record is from RefSeq and is a predicted model, not a curated record. The transcript has 3 exons. Lineage: Eukaryota; Metazoa; Chordata; Actinopteri; Siluriformes; Bagridae.
UAUGGAGUUGGGUUUCAAGAGGGCAGACUUGUGGCGACAGAACAGCUGGGAUGGGAAGAGGACAGCCACCCAAGAAGCCACACGUAUGACCGCGACGAAAGCGCUCGGCUGUGGCUUCUUUUAAACACUCGAAUGCCUUGUGAGAAACCAUGACACCAAGUACGCUGAUCUGAAAAACACUUGGUUGGAGGUCAGUGGACUGAAGGGGGAAAUGUCCUAGAGUGUUGUUUACACUUAUAUUUUGCAGGCAAACCCUGCCCAAAUCUCAUGCAAACCUCUGAUCAGGAGAAGAAGACUUGAUGGCUACUAAAAACUGAUAUGUGGAACUGCCUCAAUCAAACCAAUCAAACCUCAUAUUUCUUUUUGGACAGAAAACCUUUGGA